RNAcentral lists this ribosomal RNA (755 nucleotides) under uncultured bacterium. Its description in RNAcentral is "bacterial SSU rRNA". It matches the Rfam family "Bacterial small subunit ribosomal RNA", at positions 8 to 796 of the family's 1533-position model. The record is from RNAcentral.
AGAGUUUGAUCAUGGCUCAGGAUAAACGCUGGCGGCGUGCCUAAAACAUGCAAGUCGAACGGGCACCUUCGGGUGUCAGUGGCGGACGGCUGAGUAACACGUGGGUGACCUGCCCUCGAGCGGGGGAUAACUGCCCGAAAGGGUGGCUAAUACCGCAAAUGUCUGGUCUUCGGUGAGCAGACUGAACCGUUAGGGUUCGAGGAGGGGCCCGCGGCCGAUUAGCUUGCUGGUGGGGUAACGGCCUACCAGGGCUGCGAUCGGUAGCUGGUCUGAGAGGAUGAUCAGCCAGACUGGGACUGCGAGACGGCCCAGACUCCUACGGGAGGCAGCAGUUAGGAAUUUUGGGCAAUGGGGGCAACCCUGACCCAGCAACGCCGCGUGGGUGAUGAAGGCCUUCGGGUCGUAAAGCCCUUUUCCCAGGGACGAUGGUGACGGUACCUGGGGAAUCAGCCCCGGCUAACUACGUGCCAGCAGCCGCGGUAAUACGUAGGGGGCAAGCGUUGUCCGGAUUUAUUGGGCGUAAAGCGCUCGCAGGCGGCUCGAUGCGUCGUGCGUGAAACACCCCGGCUCAACUGGGGAGGGUCGUGCGAUACGGUCGGGCUUGAGGCCAGUAGGGGGAUGCGGAAUUCCAGGUGUAGUGGUGGAAUGCGUAGAGAUCCGGAGGAACACCGCGGCGAAGGCGGCAUCCUGGACUGGUACUGACGCUCAUGAGCGAAAGCGUGGGGAGCGAUCCGGAUUAGAUACCCUAGUAGUCC